GAAAAGAAACCAACAGGGAUUGCCCCAGUAACGGCGAGUGAAGCGGCAACAGCUCAAAUUUGAAAUCUGGCUUCGGCCCGAGUUGUAAUUUGCAGAGGAUGUAUUUGGCGCGGUGCCUUCCGAGUUCCCUGGAACGGGACGCCAUAGAGGGUGAGAGCCCCGUCUGGUUGGACACCAAGCCUAUGUAAUACUCCUUCGACGAGUCGAGUAGUUUGGGAAUGCUGCUCUAAAUGGGAGGUAAAUCUCUUCUAAAGCUAAAUACCGGCCAGAGACCGAUAGCGCACAAGUAGAGUGAUCGAAAGAUGAAAAGCACCUUGAAAAGGGGGUUAAACAGUACGUGAAAUUGUUGAAAGGGAAGCGUUUAUGACCAGACUUGUGCCGUGUGGCUCAUCCGGGGUUCUCCCCGGUGCACUCCAUACGGUUCAGGCCAACAUCGGUUCUCGUUGGGGGAUAAGAACAGUAGGAACGUGGCCCUCUUCGGAGGGUGUUAUAGCCUAUUGUACGAUACUCUGAUGGGGACCGAGGACCGCGCUUCGGCUAGGAUGUUGGCGUAAUGGUCAUUAGCGACCCGUCUU
This 575-nucleotide ribosomal RNA is filed under the name Melanconis sp. NJ-2019. Its description in RNAcentral is "partial large subunit ribosomal RNA". It matches the Rfam family "Eukaryotic large subunit ribosomal RNA", at positions 56 to 655 of the family's 3401-position model. The record is from RNAcentral. Lineage: Eukaryota; Fungi; Ascomycota; Sordariomycetes; Diaporthales; Melanconidaceae.